RNAcentral lists this long non-coding RNA (1137 nucleotides) under Capsicum annuum. Its description in RNAcentral is "long non-coding RNA (CANN_LNC022245)". Lineage: Eukaryota; Viridiplantae; Streptophyta; Magnoliopsida; Solanales; Solanaceae. The record is from RNAcentral.
CACCACUUGAUUCUACAAAUCUGUCGGAAGAGAUCUACUGGCUAUCUGGACCCCUAGACUGUGCCUCCGAACCUGAGAGGGAAGGGGGUCAAUACAAAAGUACUAGUACGCAGAGAAAUCAAAACAGAAAUAUAAUAUUUUUACACAAUAUAGGUAAGAGCCAUUAUAAAGCAGUUUCAUAUCAAAUCAUUUGAAAACAUAUGGGCAUAAUGUAAUGAUUUUUCAACACCAAUGCAAUGCAUUUGAGCUAGGUGGAAUACCCUACAAUUUGUAAUUCCACGACUAUGUGGAAUCCACCUUUUAGCUCGACGGCCGAGCCUCCAAUCCAAGUAGCCGCCAGGAUUUGGAGCCAGUGAUACCCCCCAUGUGAGCACACCGCAGGAAUCCCCCUAUGUGAGAUGCCCCAAAUAAUUUUAUUAAUCCUCCCAUGUAGGAUACAAUAUCAUAUAACCCGCAUCGGCAAUUAUGGUUUCCAGCGAUGAGCCCUUUCACUCAAACGCCUUCUUCGGAUAUCCACCUUUUUCAUGAAAAUUAAUGGACUCAAACUUUGUUCAAAUCAAUCACAUGUCAUACUCUGUAGGAUAUUGUCAUACCCGACUUGCAAGUCAUCAAUAUCAUAUCAUUCUCUUCAUUCAAUCAUCAUAUGCGCAUAUUUCAACAUGAACAAAACAACCCUCUCUUUGAAAGUCAAAAACCAUAUCCAAAUCAUGACAUUUUAUUUUUAAGACAUUUCAUGACAUGCAUUUCAAGAUGAUUUCAAACAAUUCAUAUCAUGUGAAAAUUUAAAACAACAUCAUAUCAAGAGAGGGGUUCCAUGUAAUUCAUGCUCUCAAUUUAUCACCAUUAUGAAACACAUGCAUAUAUACAUAUAUAUACGAAAGGCCUAAAGACCACAACAAUAUUAUUAAAACAUUUAAAGCAUAAUUAUAUUCAUAAUUUCAAAACCCCCAUUGAAAAACAUGAUUUAACUGCCCACGAGAUUUUUAGGAUAACCCCACGUACCUCUAUAUGCGAAAAUAUUAGGUGCUUCUUGAAGCCUACGUUGUGCGAAUUCCAAAUCUUCAAUUUGUUUUGAAAACCCACGGUUGAAUCGUGAGAUGCUUGGGUAUUUAUUGUGAAACCCUAAGGGGUGUUCUU